ACCAGCUUUAGUCAGCUCAUCUUCAUCACCAUCACUUUCAGCAGCUUUACUCAACUCAUCUUUAGCUGAAGUUCUUCUUUCUCAAAUUCUUCCAACCUUGACAUUAUACUGCCAUGCUCUGCCUUUCCCACAGCUGAAGGAAAUAUCAAUUGUAGAAUGCCCAAUGCUGAAGAAGCUCCCACUAAACUCCGAUACUACAAAAGGACAAACGCUCAUCAUUUUAGAAGAUGAGUAGUGGUGGAAAAAUGUAGAAUGAGAAGAUGAAUCCACUCAAAUUGCUUUUCUCCUUUUCUUCAUACCUCUGUAAACUACAAAUGCUGUCUAUUUUGUUGUCAAAUAACGAUAGUUAUUCAAAUAACAAGUAGGAUUUUAUUGUCAUAUAUGUAUCAUUAAACAUAUGGUCUUGGAUUUAGUUGUCUUCAUCUUCCAAUGCUGUCUCUUGUGUUUCCUUUUCUGAUCAUUGUUUAAGUGGCAAUAAUGGUGCUAGUAUGAAUGCUACUGAUUCAGUCCUAUCAGUAAAUGAGCAAAGCUUUUUUUGGAACUCUAGCUUCCAUUUGGAUAACAAAAAAGUCAAAGGCUAUAGGUGCUUCAGUUCUUUACUUCUCUUUACUUUCCUAGAACAGGGAUUUAAUUUGCUGAUGAAUUGCUAGGAAGGUGGCAGAGUAAUG
Molecule: long non-coding RNA, 668 nt
Filed under: Gossypium barbadense (sea-island cotton)
Lineage: Eukaryota; Viridiplantae; Streptophyta; Magnoliopsida; Malvales; Malvaceae
Description: long non-coding RNA (GBAR_LNC013117)
Source: RNAcentral